CGGUACGGAUCGCGAGUAGAGUGGCGGAAGGGUGAGUAAUGCAUAAACAAUCUACCCUUUAGUUGGGGAUAACCUACCGAAAGGUGGGCUAAUACCGAAUGUGGCGCAGAUGUCGCAUGGCGUUUGCGUUAAAGGCGGGGACCUUCGGGCCUGUCGCUAGAGGAGGAGUUUAUGUUCUAUCAGCUUGUUGGUGAGGUAACGGCUCACCAAGGCGACGACGGAUAGCCGGACUGAGAGGUUGGCCGGCCACACUGGAACUGAGACACUGUCCAGACUCCUACGGGAGGCUGCAGUCGAGAAUCUUCGGCAAUGCGCGCAAGCGUGACCGAGCAACGCCGCGUAAGGGAUGAAGGCCUUCGGGUUGUAAACCUUUGUCACCGAUUAAGAAUAAAUGUGGGUUAAUAACCCACAAGAUGACGAAAGUCGGGAAGGAAGCCCUGGCUAACCUCGUGCCAGCAGCCGCGGUUAUACGAGGAGGGCAAACGUUGUUCGGAAUUACUGGGCUUAAAGGGCGCGUAGGCGGCCGGAUAUGUUGGGGUUGAAAUCCCUCGGCUUAACCGAGGAAUUGGCUUCAAAACCAUCCGGCUUGAGAACAUCAAGAGUGUGUGGAACUCACGGUGUAGCGGUGAAAUGCGUAGAUAUCGUGAGGAACACCGGCGGCGAAAGCGACACACUGGGGUGAUUCUGACGCUGAGGCGCGAAAGCUAGGGGAGCAAACAGGAUUAGAUACCCUGGUAGUCCUAGCCCUAAACGAUGAAUACUAGGUAGUGGUCUCUCCGAUGGGAUCGCUGCUGCAGCGAAAGCAUUAAGUAUUCCGCCUGGGGAGUACGGCCGCAAGGCUAAAACUCAAAGGAAUUGACGGGAGCUCGCACAACCGGUGGAUGAUGUUGUUUAAUUCGAGGCAACGCGAAGAACCUUACCAGGGCUUGACAUGUACGUGGUACUAACCCGAAAGGGGGAGGACCUGCUUGCAGGAGCGUACACAGGUGCUGCAUGGCUGUCGUCAGUUCGUGCCGUGAGGUGUUGGGUUAAGUCCCGUAACGAGCGAAACCCUUGUUCUUAGUUGCCAGCGGGUAAUGCCGGGGACUCUAAGGAUACUGCCCGUGUUAAACGGGAGGAAGGUGGGGAUGACGUCAAGUCCUCAUUGCCUUUAUGCCCAGGGCCACAAACGUCCUACAAUGGUCGGUACAGAGAGAAGCGAUACCGCGAGGUGGAGCAAAUCUUCAAAGCCGGCCCCAGUUCGGAUUGUGGGCUGAAAUUCGCCCACAUGAAGCCGGAAUCGGUAGUAAUCGCGUGUCAGCUAUAACGCGGUGAAUAUGUUCCCGAGCUUUGUACACACCGCCCGUCAAGCCACGAAAGUUGGGGGUACCCUAAGUCGGCAGUCUAACCUUCGGGGGGACACCGCCUAAGGUAAACUCAGCAAUUGGGACUAAGUCGAAACAAGGUA
This 1447-nucleotide ribosomal RNA is filed under the name metagenome. RNAcentral's name for it is "bacterial SSU rRNA". It matches the Rfam family "Bacterial small subunit ribosomal RNA". The record is from RNAcentral.